Molecule: long non-coding RNA, 240 nt
Filed under: Ananas comosus (pineapple)
Lineage: Eukaryota; Viridiplantae; Streptophyta; Magnoliopsida; Poales; Bromeliaceae
Description: long non-coding RNA (ACOM_LNC009896)
Source: RNAcentral
AUCUUUUUAUAUCCACCAAAGAUCACUUUUAUAACCGAUUGUCCCUAAAGCAAGUGGCAAAGGAUUUGAUGGUUGGUAUCCGAGACCCAAGUUCGAAUCCUAGUUAAUUCACAUUUUCAGCUAAGUUUAUUUCUAAAUGAAAUAAACAAAACGGAUAGCAUGCUAUCUAUCUCUCUAAAAAGAAAAAAAAUCACUUUUAUAGAAAAUAGCUCAAAAGUAUAGCUUUUACACUCAUAUUCA